UUCUCUGUCUGACUUGUUUUGCUCAAGAUCCAUCCAUGGUGUCUCACAUGGGAUGAGUUUGUCUGUUUUUAUGGGUCUUCCAGGUAUAGAGAAGCUGGUUUAUCUGAGACCCCACUGGCUUUCUGUUGGCUCCCAUAGGCUUGGAUGCUGCUGCCCCAUGCAUGACCGGUGAUGCUUGUCCUGGGUUGUCUGAAGGUGCUCGUUGCACUGCUGCCAGGGGUGCUGGGUUCAUAGGUGUCACUAUCCCUGCCAGGGACCUGGAGAACUAUAUGUAUCUCCAGCUGAGCUGGUGUUGGGGGGUGCCACCAGUGGGGGCUAGGUCACCAGAUCUGCUGUGUUUCCUGAAGCCUCUGGUCACAGGUUCCACCUGCCAGUGCUGGGGCAAAGGGGCUAUUUCUUCUGCCCCCACCCAGUUUGCUCACAGUUGUGUGGGCCAGGCCACCUCCACUGUGCCAGCAGUCACACAGGCCAGGCUGCCACCAUCCAUGCUCCACUGGCAGUCAGGUGAGCUGGGCUGUCCUCACCACUUGUGCAAGCCACUGUGUGAGGAUCCACAACCUGGAUUGCUGCCACUCAGGGAGGGUGGUGGGGGCUUCUCCCCUAGUUCCACUGCUUACUGGGGGUUGAGUCCACCCACAUUCAGAUGUAUAGACG
RNAcentral lists this long non-coding RNA (654 nucleotides) under Equus asinus (donkey). RNAcentral describes it as "lncRNA (ENSEASG00005032832.1)". The record is from RNAcentral. Lineage: Eukaryota; Metazoa; Chordata; Mammalia; Perissodactyla; Equidae.